This 549-nucleotide ribosomal RNA is filed under the name Symbiodinium sp. clade D. RNAcentral's name for it is "partial Bacterial large subunit ribosomal RNA". It matches the Rfam family "Bacterial large subunit ribosomal RNA", at positions 1402 to 1959 of the family's 2925-position model. The record is from RNAcentral. Lineage: Eukaryota; Dinophyceae; Suessiales; Symbiodiniaceae.
CCGAAGGGGGUAGUCGAUGGACAAUCAGUUAAUAUUCUGAUACCACCUUUACUUUCGAUGGGGUGACGGAGUAGUGAAAGUCCCGCGUACUGACGGAAUAGUACGUUAAAGGGUGUAGUUAUAGGCUGUGUAGGCAAAUCCGCACGGCUUGAUGAACCUGAUAGUACCACAAUGCUUCGGCAGCGUGGAUAGUGGACCUAAUCAGACUUCCAAGAAAAACCUCUAAGCAUAUGUAUAUGGUGCCCGUACCGCAAACCGACACAGGUAGUCGAGGAGAGUAUCCUAAGGUGCUCGAGUGAUUCAUGGCUAAGGAACUAGGCAAAAUGACCCUGUAACUUCGGGAGAAGGGGUCCCUACGUGAGUAGGGCGCAGCGAAACGAUCCAGGCGACUGUUUAUCAAAAACACAUGGCUUUGCGAACUUGAAAGAGGAAGUAUAAGGCCUGACACCUGCCCGGUGCUGGAAGGUUAAGGGGGGGAGUUAGCUUCGGCGAAGCUCUGAACUGAAGCCCCAGUAAACGGCGGCCGUAACUAUAACGGUCCUAAGGUAG